UAGAGAGCCCUGGAGAGCAAAGUCCUCUGUAUCCACAGAACAGGUCCAGCACAGGCUGUGGCAGCACAAGUUUCCCGCUACUGCCCUGCCAGUGACCCCAGACCUUGAUCUGGAGGAGUCUCUUGUAGAAGUAAAAGUUUAGCUCAGUUUCCGUGAUCACUGAAUUUUUGGCUUCU
Molecule: unclassified non-coding RNA, 176 nt
Organism: Chelonoidis abingdonii (Abingdon island giant tortoise)
Lineage: Eukaryota; Metazoa; Chordata; Testudines; Testudinidae
Source: Ensembl